AAAUCUUGGAGAUUGAUCGGGGUAUACGGGCCACAAGAAGACGAUGCUAAGCUUGAUUUCCUUCAUCAGCUUAGACAGUUACUGUCCAGUUCUUCCUGCCCAACGAUCUGUGCAGGAGAUUUCAACUUGAUAUGCUCUGCGGCGAACAAAUCAAACACAAGAAUCAACAGGCGGCUCAUGAAUGCUUUCUGCAGCUUCAUCUGGGAUAUGGAGCUCAAAGAUCUGUACUUGCAUGGCAGAACCUACACCUGGACAAAUGAGCAAGAGAGGGCGACACAGGUAAAGUUGGACCGGGUGCUCUACAAUGAUCGUUGGCACGACAUGUUCCCCUCCUAUCAGUUGCAAGCCAUCAACACGGCGGUUAGCGACCAUUGCCCCCUGCUGCUAACCUGUGACACUGAGUUCAAA
RNAcentral lists this ribosomal RNA (408 nucleotides) under Triticum aestivum (bread wheat). RNAcentral's name for it is "partial small subunit ribosomal RNA". The record is from RNAcentral. Lineage: Eukaryota; Viridiplantae; Streptophyta; Magnoliopsida; Poales; Poaceae.